This is an RNA transcript of Mus musculus (house mouse), 3881 nucleotides long. It is a transcript of the gene named predicted gene, 30733, with no coding region annotated. The transcript is spliced from 5 exons. The record is from RefSeq and is a predicted model, not a curated record. Lineage: Eukaryota; Metazoa; Chordata; Mammalia; Rodentia; Muridae.
UGUUUGGGUCAGAGGUGUCUUAGCUCUAGGGCAGGUGUCUGGGAGUGAGAGGUGUCACCUGCCAAAGCCUUGUAAGGCCUCUGGGUUUGUUCUGGAUAAAAAACCCUUGGCCCACUGUGAGCUGGGGGAUGAUAAGGGACAGGGACAACUAUGGCAGAGUGGCCAGGGAGGAAUAAGAGGAACCAUGACGUAUUUGCAUGAAUUAGGUGGUAGUCAGGGCCACAGAGGAGAGGUGAACAUUUCCUGAGGACCCACAGAUGAGGAAGACAGAGGUGUGAAUGGUGGCCUGGCCUGGAGACAUCUGGAUGGAGCUGCUGAGAGGAAGCUCAUGACAGUGGACUGCAUUCGCACCCUGAAGUGCUUAGACUCGUGGCUUGCCAAGAGGGCGUGCAGUUCUGCCAUGUUCUUGCUGCCCAAGAAAAAUGAAGUUACAGGAGCGUCCAGCUUCAGUCUGUCCCUGUCACUAGCCAUCCCCGAGUUCUCUCCCUGCCUGCGACCCACCUCUCAACACAUCCACUCAGGUAAGGCAUGGCUUUCUGUCUUCCUUAGCAACAUCCUGGGCAAGGGAGAAGGGCUGCUCCCACCUCUGCUUCAGAGCUGGACCUAGAGAUGUCCCUCCAUGUAGGGGACUCUGUGUCCUGAGUCUGGGUUCCCACAGCGUCCUCUUCUCUGUCCCCCUUGUCCUCCCACGGCUUACUGAGAAAGGCCUCUUUCACUCUUCCAGUCUGCAGUGACCUCACCCCGACCUCACCCUUGACCUCUAGCAGGCCCUGCAGGCUCCUGAGAAGUGUGAGCCCUGCUCACUUCCGGCUUCCAGCUUCUGCUCUCAGCCCUGCUCCUGGUCUGAGCUCAGCUCCUUCCCUCUGGAGCCGACAGCGUUUCCCAGUUCCCCGUCUUCCUGAGAUCACGAGGUUGUUCCCAGUGCUGUGUCUUUCCAUUUUAAUUUGUGGAAGGAUUGUGGGGGCCUGGAAAGUACAUCCCUCUGUGAGUGAUGCCAUGAAACUUAGCUUCAAAUUCCAAAAAUGGCAGGCAGAAGAAGCGAGACUCCUGUUAUUCGGUUUCUUUUAUCAGUCAACUGGAGUGAAGUUACUGUGGCAAGUUCAUCUUCCCCAGUGCCGCCCUGGAUGGGACUCCAGACCCGGGGCCUCUGUGCUGAGAGCUCUCUCUAUGCUCCUCCAACCCAGGCAGGCUCUCAGGAGGCACUCAGAUCCCUGGGCCUGUCACCUGCACAGUGUAAGGCAGGUCAGGCCAUCUCUCCCCAGGCAGAAGGCCUUCGCCUAAAGUGACCUCAUUAGAGCAUCCCUGGGGCUCUAGAAGCAGAGCCAACCACUCAGCUGUGCCCUGGCACCCUUUUCCUUGGAAACCUCCCUGUUUUCCUUUGACUGCUGAGGGCAGGGAGCACUCCAACAAUCUCCCUGUGGCAGACCACCAUGUGCCUUCUGUGUCCAGCAAGCGUUGGCCUUGGCCCCAGCAGGGCCCCGGGGGCCAGGCAUCCAGGGUGAGCUGGAGCCUUCAGUUCCACAGGCAGCAUUGGCUCCUUCUCCCACUGCCUCAGCCCUGCCUUGAGCUUUCUUCGCUUGAGCUGCAGAACUGAAUAAACACAGGGUGUGAGGAUGGAUCCUGCCUGGCUGUGCAUCCCUGACUCCAGCUGCUCUGAGCCCCGGUUGCCAAGAUCUACAGCGUUAAGAUGCCUGAGGCCAUCCAGGCCUCCACCAGAGCUGACUGCAGAAGGGAUCUGCCUGAUUUCAAAUGGGGCCACUUCCUGCGUGGUACAGCCGCAUGAAAACCCUGGAGGCUCGUGUCCCUGCCACCCUGUGAUUUAACCCAGAAGAUGCUAGAGCCCUGAAGGACUAUAGUGCUGGACUUCUCAUGAAAUGUACACACGCCUCUUUUAAGGUCUUCCUUCUUUCCUGUGGGUCUGCAUGUCCUUUUGAGCUCACGGCUCUCCUGCCUGACAGACUCCUCUGGGUGUUCAUCUCAGUGCAGAGUGGCCUCUUCAUUUCUGCUUCUUUAAAAAUGUGUCCAUUUUGUCUGCAGUGUUUCUGAUGGGAAACCCGGAUCACGGCUGCGGGCCCCAUGCCGUGGCACGCCUUCAGAGCUUUAAUAGCUGCCAUUCCAUUUCCUCCUACUUCCAUUGUUCCCUUGACAAAUCGGCCGUUCCCCAACUGUUUCUUCCUUCGCCGGGCAUGGCUGGCUUUGCUCCACAAGAACAGCAAACGUUCUUAAUGGCUGAGCCCCCUCCAGUCCUUCCUUUGGGAAUUUUAAUUACGCAUUCUCCGUUUCUCCACAGUACCCCACACGCCCUAGUGUGCUUCUUUGGUUUCUUGAGGGUUUUGUUCCGUACCUCCUCAGCCUUGAUCGUUUUAGCAAACUUCCGUGUGCCUCGUCUAAACAAUCUGUACCAGCCUCGUGCGGCGUCCCUUGGAACUUGCUCUUUAAUUUGACGCCCUUUGGCUGUAUUUUCAAUUUCAAUUCAUCUGAUAAUGUACCUCAGCUUUUCAUUUAAAAAAAAUUGCUAAUUGAUGUUGCAAAUUUGUCAUUAGCCACUUCAGUGACCAAGCACCCAGGGCCUCCUGUUGCCUGUUUUUCCACCACUUGGCAUCUGGUUGCUUUCCCCUGUGAGGUCUGCUAACCUUCUUGUGAGAGACACUGGACACUGUAGUCUUUUCAUGAUGUUGUUUAUGGUGGAGGUAGGCACCUGUUCACGCCCAGAGUUAAAACACUUUAGGCUGACCUUCACCUUCACAGUGCAGAGUUUAUGUCGGCUUGUUCUUCUUGUGAUACAACCUCCUAAGGGACUCAACAGAAAGCCCUGUGUGUUUUCUGGAACUCUGUGUUGUUGAGCCUUGAACUCCAACUUCCCUUGUAACAACAUCUAUGAUAUGGGUGACACCCACGCCUAGUUCAGCUCAGUCCCUGAGCGCUGCGCUCUGUGCAACAUAUGCCCCCUCAGAGUUCUCUGGGCACCAAGUGCUGGUGCAGACAAACUUGGCUGCCAGGACUUCUCUUUUCCUCUUGCCCCUGGCUUUGGGUGUCGACUUUGGUCUCCCCCAGCUCCUGAGCCUAGCACACAACUCUCAACCAGCUCAAUGGCGCUCACACAUUGCUCAAAGAAGAGAAUGAUGGAGCCACCUCUGCUUGGUUUGCUUUUUCUCUGGGGCACAAACCUCAAAUCCUGGCAACCUGGGUUGCCUUUUGAGUGAGGCUUUCAAAAAAUAGCCCCCACCCCCUGUCUGGGUUUGUAUACGUCUGUUCUUUCUAACUCUCCCUGGCUCUGCGUGUUUGCCAGAAGCUAUUCCAUCAGGUUGGACUAGACAUGGGGACCUUCUUAGGUUUCAAUGAGGCAGCAACACACGGAGAUCUGGGGUCGGCAGACUGACCUUAUCUCCAACCUAGAUGAGGGCAGAAUUAUUUCAGCUGUUGACUUCUCAAGAGAACUGAGGGCUGGGGAUGUCGCUCAGUCAGGAGAGUACCUGCCUAAUAUGCACAGAGCUCAGUGUUCAAUCCUCAGCAUCGCAUCCAACCUGGUCAGAUGGCACAGCACUCGGGAGGGGCAGGCAGGAGGAUCAGAGAUCGAGUCAUCCUCCUCUACAAAGAAAUUUGAGCAGGAGGCCCUUUGUAGGCUAUCAAGCACAUCUCUAAAGUGGACGCAAUGAUGAGGUCACCUGUCUCAUGGGAUAUGUGGGAAAUCUGACAGGUAUGUAUAUAUAAGACACAUAGACCCUGCUGUCACCUGCCUGGAAAAUCAGUUGUUAAACAUAAACCAGUUUACAGCACAGGGCCCUCCUUUAACCUGAUUCAGCCCACAGCCACCAUGUCUGAAUGUCCAUCUGGUCAACCUGCCUUGUACUACUACUUGUGAGGGACAGAAGCAGGUAGAG